RNAcentral lists this long non-coding RNA (1824 nucleotides) under Gallus gallus (chicken). RNAcentral describes it as "lncRNA (ENSGALG00010019879.1)". Lineage: Eukaryota; Metazoa; Chordata; Aves; Galliformes; Phasianidae. The record is from RNAcentral.
UUUCUUUCUGGAGGUCCCUCCUUGGUGAAGUUUUCCCUUUGAACCUGGAAUCUUAUGAUAUGGGUGAGGUUCAAAUCACAGGACAAGAAGAGCAUGCUCCAAAAAUAAAAGCAGACUUUGGCUUAUGCUGUCCAGCGAAUUGCCAUAUGAAAGCAGGAGGAUUUCGGUCUUUUAUGAACUACUGCUCUUCAGGGACAGAGACCACUUGUGCAAGAGGGAGAGCAACUGCUUAUUGAUGUAAUUGUAGCAAAUGAAGACAGUAUAAAGGGGAGGUAACUGACAGCAUCUUUCUGAAAGAUAUGCAGAGACUCUCCGGCUUCAUUGGGGUUGUUUGUACAUGUUGCCAGAUACUUGUCCUAAGUGGUGUUUGUUUCCUUUCCAUAAAGAAGACACCAGCUCUGGUCGCUGAUAAAACAAAGCUUGGCAAAGUCCCAAGCACAAUAUCUUGUUCUGGGAAUGCACUCAACUUGAUCUUCUCAUUUACCUCACAGGCAUUCAUUCUUCAAAAGCCAAGGGCGUACAUCUUUGGGAGAUGAAGCUGCAAAAGAAUUUUGAAUAGAUUGAACCUGGGGAUACUUCUGGCUCAGUUAGUAUUAAUGGCAAGUUGGCUUUGGAAAAUGACAAACUCCGCAGUCUGGUGCUGGAAGAAUUAGAAGGGCUUGAAACGUGGGAAAAUAAUGGAGAAACAGCUUUGAAGUGGUUAUUCAUCUCCUUCAAAUACACCCACCGGACAACUGGGACAGAUACAAGCCGCAAAGGGAGGUACCUCCCAUGGUCAGCCCUGCAGCCCCGCAGAAGUUAGAAAGGAGUGGGGAGAAGAAAUGGUGGAGCUGGCAACAUCUUUGUGAUCUCUCAAGUGGAUCCACAGCCCAGGUGGAGCAUCCUGUUCUACUAAAGGUUGUAGAAACAUUUCUCUCCCACCUCUUUGUCUUUGGGCUGAGUCCAGAAAACUUCAGUGACAUCUGGGAAAAAAGUGAUGAAACUGUACCUGAACAAUAACAUUAAAACAUAGCUUGCUGGCAGCAUGGGCUGUGUUAUGUGAGGUCUGCCUGUUCCUGCUUUACCCAGAGAGCACCAGCAGCAAGCUGGACAUGUCCUCAGAUGGCUGCAGAAGUCAAGUUGUGAGAGCUGCACCGUGGCAGGUGAAUUGCAACGUGGAGAAGCAUGCUGGGUGUGAGGCCUCCUAACUGGACAUGCAGGUGUUUCAUUUCAUCUGCACCUGAAUUUGGAAGCAUUAGCGUUCCAGCCACUCACCCUUCAUUUCAAGGUUUCUGAACUGCUUUAAUGAAGAAUGAUUUGAUUUUAAAGAUGAAAGGUCAGACUGUGCCAUCAGUUUAAUUGGAUUUGGCUGUGGCCACUUUGACGUUCAUUUGUGAUAGGAAAAACAGAUUUAACGGAUUUCAAUCACUCUAAAACUCAUAAACAGAGGGAAAAUGUUUCCUACCAUUGGUCAAUGAAAACUGGUGAGGAUCAUGGCCUGAGGCACAGCUAUAAGGUAAACAACCCCAAAACCUAUCUCUUUGGGGGGAAAAAAAUAACAAAAGCGUAUCUGCUUUGUGAAACUCAAAACCUCACUGUUGAGGAAACUUUUAACUUUUCUUUUUGUUUCCAAAUGCCUACUGACGCAGCUAUAGGUAUCAAUUUCUUUGUACCCCAUAAAGUGGCGUUAGGUAUAAUUAGAGGAGUGUGGCCGUUAAGGGUUUUUUUCUCUCCUGGCACACUUCAAUGAGAGAACAGGCUCCCCCAAUUUCUAUUUCAUCCUUAAUUGCUUCUGAAAUUACUUUGAUGUGUGUACAACUUUAUCUGCUUAAUGUGACAUGGAAU